Long non-coding RNA from Anolis carolinensis (green anole), 664 nucleotides. RefSeq lists it as uncharacterized. The record is from RefSeq and is a predicted model, not a curated record. The transcript has 2 exons. NCBI's taxonomy places the organism in Eukaryota, Metazoa, Chordata, Lepidosauria, Squamata, Anolidae.
GGCUCAGUUGGAUCUGUUUUGGAUAGUACUUGGAUGAGAGAUCAUAAUGUAGUCCAGGAUGUCAAAACCCAUUUUCUUGGAGGGCCACAUGAGCCUUGUUGUUGCCUUCAAAGAUCUGGUGGAUCCAUGAAUAAGAGGGCCAACUACAAUUUUUUUACAUGCUGAACCGAAUACGGAGAGAAAUGCUCCCUGAAGUGUGGGAAAUAUGGCUACCUUGUCCCCUUUUUUCUCCACUAGACGGAAUUCUACUGGAAAAUCUCUCUUGAUCCACUUCUUACCUGCCGGGACCUUCAUGUUGCUGCUUCUCUGUUAGCAAGUAUGUCAACUGCACAGCUAAUUGCUCCUUUUCUUCAUGGAUUUUCUCUCGUGCUGCUCUUUCGGCAUGGAAAUCAGAACAGUACACUUCCAUCUGAGCAGGGAACAAAGCAGGAAUAGCAAUGGUGGGCAAAUGUGCAGAGUCCAGGGACCAUUGUGUGGCAACACUUCCUAUCACCCUGCACCACUGAAUGUACUGAAACGAGCAUGCGAGCCUUCACCAAACCCUUCCCUGAAUUCAUAUCAAUCUCUUUUGACGGGUGUCUGUACCUGAGCUCGUAGGACAGCCACGGUCUCAAGUUCUUCUUCCUGCUUGGCGAUGGUUUGCUUCAUUUCAUCUAUUUGUGAC